This 107-nucleotide small nuclear RNA is filed under the name Chinchilla lanigera (long-tailed chinchilla). The record is from RNAcentral. Lineage: Eukaryota; Metazoa; Chordata; Mammalia; Rodentia; Chinchillidae.
GUGCCCACUUCAGCAUCACAUAUACUAAAACUGGAAUGAUGGAGAGUGGAUGACCAUGGGCCUUGUGCAGGAAUGACACACACAUUUUAAAGCAUUCCACAUUUUUU